Triticum aestivum (bread wheat) is the source of this 4362-nucleotide long non-coding RNA. RefSeq lists it as uncharacterized. Lineage: Eukaryota; Viridiplantae; Streptophyta; Magnoliopsida; Poales; Poaceae. The transcript is spliced from 7 exons. The record is from RefSeq and is a predicted model, not a curated record.
AUCCCGGCGGCCCCGCCCGCAACUCCCUUAUUUUCGGAAUAAGGAAAACAGAUUCGCAGCAAGCUUGCGCCGCCGAUCCUCCCUUAUCCUCCUGCGCCCCGAGUCCACCCCGCCUCCGGUCGCCACCCGCGCUCAGCCGCCGCCGGCCUCCUCUGCCGGAUGCCAUGGCCAUGGACCAAAGCUCGAAUUGGAUGUUGGUGAUAGCUUCCCUCGCGAAUGCCUGGAGGUGGGAUGAGCAAAUCCCGAAUCUCCUUACUGCCUGGACUGGAGAGUUGCAUCCAAUCAGGCCUCCUCCUCUCCACUAAGUGCCUCUGAACACAUGAGUUCUUGCACGGUGGAGGCGUGGAGCAUAGGAGCAUACAACUGAUUCUUUGGAACACCUGAUUCCGGUACACGUGCAACCAUUUGUAGCGUUUGCUUAUUGUUUUUUGGGACACCUGAUUCCACUACAUGUGCAAUCAUAUUUGUUAGGUACUUUAUGGAUAAGUACACACCCAGAUUUUGGGGAUUUGUAAUACGAGUGAGUUCAUGUGUUACUAGAAUUGUUGUACCUAAUCUGGUUUUGUUGGGGCUUGGUUUUGCUUUGAAAAAUAUAGGACAUCAAGCAUCAAAUUGUUUAAUCUUGUUCAUAUUUUAGUAUCGCGUUUCACAUGAACUAUUAAAAUUGUUCUGUACACACAAAAUAAUUGCUUAUUAGGAUCUAAGUCGUUGUUGUUCAUGUGGAAUUUAUAAUUCAGCAUCUUGAGAACUAUGACAUGUGUAGUCCUGUAAAGUGCAAGAAGAUUUAAAUUCCUAGAACUUAAUCAACUUAUAAAGUCAGAAGAAUAUGGUUCCGGUAAUGUGACUGAGGAGAAAAACUGGCCUCUUUUUCAACCUGCACCAACAUUAAUAAUGGUGAAGUGUUACAUUAGGAGCCUAUCAUGGUCGGUUUAUCUUUUAUGUAAAUGAUAUGCGCUGCCUAGAACUUAUGCUAUAAAUUAUCAAUACCAUGUUUCUAGAUAGUACCAAAUUUUGUUAAAUUAUGAGUCUUUUCUUUUCUAAAAUCAAUCAUUCAUGCAUUUGCAAUGUGUCAAUCCUGGAUAUACUUUGGAUGUAAUUGCUAUUGUCGAGUUGGAUUAGAUUUGCAUUUAAUUGCUAAUGGUGAGUUGGCUUAGAUUUUCUAAGUCUCAAACUAGAAGCAGUACUACUUUACUAGAAGCAGUAAUACUUUAAUUUACACUAGUUUUUAACAGUAGUUGUGCGUUUGGGCCUUUCUACAGAAAUAAAAAUAGACUGCUUCAAUGCUUUAUUAACAAUGCCACCGACCAAGUUUAUUUCUUCUAACCUUAUAAUCCAGUAUUUCAUAUGCCAGUUGAUGCAAUGAUUGAUAGUCUUCACGGGAAAAAAUGUCACAUGCCCUUUCAGGAAAACCAACAGAAGAUUUACCGGCGAACCCUCACUUUUAAGGCAAGUUCAUUGGAUGACUACCAUAUCUUUAGGUAACUUUUGGUUGCUCUGAUGAAAUUGGAUGGGAGAUGGCCAUCCAACUUUUAGAAGUCAUGAGUUUUUCCUUGAUUGGAUGGACUGGAUAGGUCUAUAUCCCAUUAAAUAUAAUAUAGCUCGAACAACCAGGGAAAAUCCAAGUGGUACAAAAAACUUGAGUGAGCUGAGCCAUUUCUUGCCUCCAGCUGUUCAAGUUAAAGAGGACACAUGUCUUUCUCUUAAAAAUGUCUCAUUUGGGCAUUCCUUGUACAACACCUUUUUAAAUCAUAAAAAUGGUCUUGGCCAAAUACUAGGUAGAGUAUUCAACAAUUUUCUACCUUCCAUAAGCUCUUCACAUGCACAUACCUCUGGUUCGUGUAACAUCUAUAAUUGACGACUUCCAAUGAUUUUACACUACAGAAUUUAUUAAUUCAGAAUUUCCUUUACUUGCCACGGGUAACACUUAUAUGUUAUAGGGUAGACCACUCCUGGUUGUAUUAAGUCACUAUAUGUCAUUGCAUUUAUACUACUCCCUCUGAUCCAAAAUAAGUGUCAUGGUUUUGUUCAAAUUGAUGUACCAUAUUUGAGAUAAAGGGUAUUUUUGGACCUACGAUGUCAUCAUCUCUUUAUAUUCUUAUCAGCUUCUGGAAGUAUUGUCUGGAAUUAGACCCUAUUACAAUCAGUUUGUGCACCUGCUCUAUUUUGUAUGCAGAGACAAACCUAACUGUAAUGUUGGACAUGCUAUGAGCACUCUAGGUCCAACAACCUGCAUUGUAUCUGAAUAGAAGAAAAAAAUUAUUAAGAUAUCUACAAGUUUUGGGGAAGUCCUCCAAAAGAACAGAGAUCUCAUUCAAACAACAUUCUCCAUUGAGUCAACUUCGUCGCCAUGAUUUUUUUAAAACAGAGGAUGGCAUUUGUCAGUAAGGUUUUUAUUGCAAAAUCUGGUGUGCGAGAGGCUAGGGAUCUGUGAUCUAGGAUGUUGAAGAAACAGAUGGCAACUAAGGUCUUCAAUCCCUAUCAAAAAGUGGGCUCCAAUCAAAAGAAGAAUCAGUAGUUCAAGAUGGAAUUUAUUCUUCUUCAAAGUAGAUGACAUUUAUUCAUUUUUUGAGCAUUUAUGGUUUUGUGUGUAUAUUGAAUUAUUUUAUGAGUUGUGAUAUUUAUUCUUAAACAAUAAGAAAUUCAAUGCAAAGGUCCACACUAAUGUGUGAGCAGGCGUCAUAUUAUGUGACGCUUUUAGUUUAUCGGCAGUAGCAGUUGCAACAACAUUAUGUACGCAAAAUCUUUUGGUCUUGCGAUUUUACGUUUGGUUUAGUGACAUUGAUAUUUUAGUGGGAGGCAGCUUUUCAAUCAUGAUAGGUUUCAAGCUUCUUUAACAACCAAUCCAAGCACCUAAUGGAGGAAAUAACACAUAUUAUUGUCUGUAUGCAACAACAUGACCACAGUUAUGUGUCACCUUCGAGAAUACAAAAUAUGAGCAAGACAACAACAUAAUGUCUCCAUUUACCUUUUUGGGAACAUUUUUUUGUGUGUUCGUGUGAAUCUCAUUUAGCAAGGAGAACGUUUAAGACGUGCGUUGCACGUGCAAGCUUACUAGGUGAAUUCAAGCUAAAAUAUGAAUUGUACUGUUCUAACUAUAUUUUUUUUCAGAUCCAUUUUCCAGGAAAAUGGGCAUGAUAAGAUCAUUAUCUAAAAGCCAUGGGAUGAGCCAUGAAUGAGACCAUUCCCUUUUGCUGCUUUAUUGUCAUUGUUGAUGAGUCCAAGCUCGUCCCGCUUCAGCAUCGUGUACAUGUUGGGACUCAUCGGCAAUGUGUUCGGCAAAUUGCUAGGCUUCCACACCAAGACGCUAUCAAAUCUCUCCAUUUCUUGAAAAGAAGACUACUGUUGUUGUCAGCUCUUUUCUGUCAUUGAUCCAAAGACCAGGUCAUGAGUUUAAAACAACAUGGUGGGAAAUCUGAUUAUCUUGGCAGCACCAAAUGAAAAUCUCUGGUAGCAGUGAGGCUGAAAAAUGCAUGUAUGAUGUUCUGUACAUGAUUCCUAAGAACGUUGACCCAUUUCUUUGAAGGUGAAAAACAUGUGAUAUAAACGCAAAUGAAGGUUAUGGAGUAACUUGAAGGCAUCCAAAAUCUGCGUAUUCGCUAUUGAUGAAGCGCAUUGCAUAUUGGAAUGGGGUCAUGAUUUCAGGUUAUUUGUUCUGCUAUUGUGUGAAUUAUUUCAGCUAAAGAGCUGACAAUUUACUUUCGUUUCAAUUUUUGAUAUGUCCUAUGCAUUUAGUUUGGAAAUUUUAUGUGUCUUGGUGGUAAAUGCAAAAGAUAUCAGUUCAUAUCAGCUAUCAAUUAUCGCUAGAUUGCUCUCACCCUUUAAUUCUGUGGUCAAAUUUGGCGACCUGUCGAGGAUGGCGAGUGCAGCGUGAUAGCUCUGCCUUUUACACUAAUCUUUUACCUAAAUUUUAUUUGAUAAACGGAUCGUUGCAUCAGACAGGUCUGCAGUACCAAACAGCUUGAAGCUUGUUAGUUGAUGAUACUAUGCAUUUAUGUUACAGUGCUUAGUGCGCAGGCAUUGAUCAUAGUAGUACGAACACAUGCAAUCUUUAAUCAGUGUUACAUUUUGAGAAGGACUAUUCUUCUUCCAUGUUAAUUCUCGGCUUGUAGGAACAUAAUGGAUUGAUUUUUAUAUUAGAUUCGAUAGUUGUGGUUUUCUUUUCUAAUCGUGUACCAGAUGCAACAUUUGUCUUGCCUUGUAGUUUUGAACGGGGGUAGUAUUUGUUUUCCAUUACUUUUUUAUGGUUAGAGAAAUGUUAUUAUUGUCGAAAAACACAAACAUUGACAUUGCACUAAGUGCAUGCUUCAUUAUUUGUAAUCUCUACUCCUAAUGGAGUAGUUGGUAGGAUUGCGUCCAGGUUUA